AUACAGAGGGUGCGAGCGUUAAUCGGAAUUACUGGGCGUAAAGAGCACGUAGGUGGACAAGUAAGUUGGGUGUGAAAUCCCCGGGCUUAACCUGGGAAUGCCAUCCAAAACUGUUUGUCUAGAGUAUGGUAGAGGGAAGUGGAAUUUCCGGUGUAGCGGUGAAAUGCGUAGAUAUCGGAAGGAACACCAGUGGCGAAGGCGACUUCCUGGGCCAAUACUGACGCUGAGGUGCGAAAGCGUGGGGAGCAAACAGGAUUAGAUACCCCGGUAGUCC
Molecule: ribosomal RNA, 274 nt
Filed under: uncultured bacterium
Lineage: Bacteria
Description: partial 16S ribosomal RNA
Rfam family: Bacterial small subunit ribosomal RNA
Source: RNAcentral